Molecule: ribosomal RNA, 451 nt
Filed under: uncultured bacterium
Lineage: Bacteria
Description: bacterial SSU rRNA
Rfam family: Bacterial small subunit ribosomal RNA
Source: RNAcentral
AACGAACGCUGGCGGCAUGCCUAACACAUGCAAGUCGAACGAGACCUUCGGGUCUAGUGGCGCACGGGUGCGUAACGCGUGGGAAUCUGCCCUUGGGUUCGGAAUAACAGUUAGAAAUGACUGCUAAUACCGGAUAAUGUCUUCGGACCAAAGAUUUAUCGCCCAGGGAUGAGCCCGCGUAGGAUUAGCUAGUUGGUGAGGUAAAGGCUCACCAAGGCGACGAUCCUUAGCUGGUCUGAGAGGAUGAUCAGCCACACUGGGACUGAGACACGGCCCAGACUCCUACGGGAGGCAGCAGUGGGGAAUAUUGGACAAUGGGCGAAAGCCUGAUCCAGCAAUGCCGCGUGAGUGAUGAAGGCCUUAGGGUUGUAAAGCUCUUUUACCCGGGAUGAUAAUGACAGUACCGGGAGAAUAAGCCCCGGCUAAACUCCGUGCCAGCAGCCGCGGUAAU